CCUACGGGGGGCAGCAGUGGGGAAUAUUGCACAAUGGGGGAAACCCUGAUGCAGCGACGCCGCGUGAAGGAAGAAGUAUUUCGUUAUGUAAACUUCUAUCAGCAGGGAAGAAAAUGACGGUACCUGAGUAAGAAGCCCCGGCUAACUACGUGCCAGCAGCCGCGGGAAUACGUAGGGGGCAAGCGUUAUCCGGAUUUACUGGGUGUAAAGGGAGCGUAGGCGGGGGGGCAAGUCUGAAGUGAAAGGCCGGGGCUCAACCCCGGGACUGCUUUGGAAACUGUAGGACGUGAGUGCAGGAGAGGUAAGUGGAAUUCCUAGUGUAGCGGUGAAAUGCGUAGAUAUUAGGAGGAACACCAGUGGCGAAGGCGGCUUACUGGACUGUAAAUGACGCUGAGGCUCGAAAGCGUGGGGAGCAAACAGGAUUAGAUACCCGAGUAGUC
This 440-nucleotide ribosomal RNA is filed under the name uncultured bacterium. Its description in RNAcentral is "partial 16S ribosomal RNA". It matches the Rfam family "Bacterial small subunit ribosomal RNA", at positions 338 to 795 of the family's 1533-position model. The record is from RNAcentral.